CAUUGGCAUUAAACGCAGCCCCUGUGCCCUCAGGAGUGAGAAUAAGGACUUAACUGCUAUUGCUGCUGUUCAUGCAGCAGCCUUAAAGGUUCGGUUUGGACUCGCACUCUUUGGCCCAUCUGGAGGCGAUUUCUGCAAAGUCUGUUCUCUGAAUCGGUCCAAUUCAUCAUCCACGUGAUGCUGUGGUGCUGUUGAACAUCCCAGGGCCAGCUGAGUAUCAUUCCUUGUCUCUGCUCCAGUUGCUUGGAACGUGCUGCCUCCCCAAAUGCCCAAAUACAAACCCAAGAAUUACGAGAGAGUGCUAAUUCGGGGUUUGCAAUGAAUUUAGUG
Molecule: long non-coding RNA, 330 nt
Filed under: Calidris pugnax (ruff)
Lineage: Eukaryota; Metazoa; Chordata; Aves; Charadriiformes; Scolopacidae
Description: lncRNA (ENSCPUG00000017243.1)
Source: RNAcentral